GUAUUUUCAUCCAACUUCAAUUAUAUUCCAGUUCCAGUCAAUCGAUUCCUCGCCUGCCUCGCCUUCAUCCUCCAAUGGAGAGAGAUGAUUGCUCGAACCUAGAUCGAAGCUCUUCCCCUUCUUUUCCUUACUAUGGUGAUUGGAACUUCGGUGUUGAUUCCAAUCUAAAGCCUAAGGUAAUGUAAAGUCCUAUGUUUUCAAGUGUUUCGAGAAUGGGUUCUUUGCCAAGAGAUUGUUGAUUUGAUCAGAUCUGUCUUUGGGGAUUUUGUAAAGUUCUCGCCUUUAUAAUUCGGGCAUUGCUAUAUGUACCUCAAGUAUUGUAAUCAAAGAGAUUGUUGAUUUGAUUUGAUUUUAUCAGAUCUGUCUCUGGUAUUUGUAAAGUUGGUAACUUUAUGAUUUGGGCAAUUUGCAGAUAUGUAUCACGACUAGCACAACUGGAUUGGAUCAGAUUCUACCGUGGAUGUUCUAUCAUAAGGUUCUUCGCAUCUCCACGUUUUUUCUUUUUGUAGAAGGGAAAGCUACUACGCCCACCAUUUCUAAAGUUCCCGAGUCUAUUCCUGUGAGUUCUAGCUUCUUAGACUCUUAGUCCUCUAGGUGUACGUUGACUAAGAUAAUUAUAUGCCCGGAUUUUUAAAAUUAGAAUCACUCUAUUAUCACUGAAGAAAGCUAAAGCGAGUGAAAAACUAUGCAUCUAAAGGUAAAAUAAAAUCACAAUUUUAUAUGUUUAAUUAUAUCUAUAUAUAUGACAAUAAUUUGGAUUGUAAAAAUGAUUUAGGGCUCAGCAUGUAUUCAAAUAUAUUUUCACUGAUAUUCCCUAACAGAUGAAGAUGUCAUCCAAUUUGGUAUCUCAGUAUCUUCAAAAGAAAUGACGGCAACUGAGAAAUACUAAAAGUGUUUUUUACUAAAAAUUUAAAUUAUUUAAUAUUUAUAGAAUGUAUAUAUUUAAUAAUUAUAUAUAUAUUUUAGUUUUCAUCUAAAUACUGAAUAUAUUAGUUUAUAAUAACAAAUUCAAUAACUUAAGAAAAAGAUGUAAAAUAUAUGUAACAUCGGGUUGAGACGAUAAGAAAUGAAUUAAUAACAAUCCUAAUUUUUUUUGGUUCUCUUUAACUGAAACGCUUCAUCUAUUCAUUUUCCUCAUGUGAAAGUUUUUGUUUUUUGGUAUCAUACAUUUUAACUUACAAAAUUGCUUCUUUUUUUUCUUUUAGUAGGCUUAGAAGAAGCACAAGUAUGAUGGUGUAAAACCGAAGAGACCAUAAAAAGAAAGGAGGAGGAAGAUAGAAAAAAGACGUGGAGAAAUCAAAGAAAGGAUUUUUGAUAAAAGUGUAUGCAGUCUAUAGUGCAUGGAGUUAAGUCAGAUGAUGUUGCUCGGUUACUGAAUCGUGCUCGCCACUACUCAGCUGUGCGCUCACAUGGCUUAUAUCAGCCGAGAAUAUAAGAAAAGGCGAUGCUGGUCCUUCCCGAAAAGUAUGGAGAAUGAGAUGUUAGGUGAAGCUUUUAAGAAGCUUAAGAACCCAUAUGAGGUAGUGAUGGUGGUUCAUCAUUUGUAUCGGCGCAUCAAGUUCAUCCAUCUCUGAUCUCCCUAGCUGUUUCUAUUGGGGAGAAGGAGUUGAAGGUAGGAGAGGAAGACUAGGAAGUGAUGCAGCUCCGUAUGAGACACCUACCAAUUGGCAGCCAAAACCAACAUGGAGGUGUUGUUAGAGGUGGUUGAGGAAGAGGCCAAGCUGGUGGUGGCAAAGCCGCAAAGACAAUAAAGGUGGCCUAGCUAAAUAUUGUUGUGCCUAAAAGUGAGAUUGAAAAAUGGAAUAAAAAGCUCUAACAUGGUAUUAGGAAGAACGUGUAGAUAACAAUAGCUGAAGGUUUUCUACAUUUGUGGAUCAUUGGGUGAACAUGCUCCUAUCUCAAGGAGCAUCCGGAGAGUUUAGAGUCUGCAACGAGUGUACGAUAGGAGACGGUAAUGAUGAUAGAGCUGAAUGAUAGCGGUGAAUGACUGACUCAUCACACGACCGGGAAGAAGUAUAAGCUGAAGGUGAAUGGUGAAGACGGACCAGUUAUUUUCUUAUGUAAGGAAGGCGGGAAGGAUUCCAUCUCCAUCAGUAACUUAACUCUCUUCACACUCAAGAUGGUGUGGUUACAGUUCUAUGUUCUCUCGACUCUUGAGUUGUUAGUUGUUUAUCUAAUGGUAAGAUAUUUUCUCUGUAUGUAAACUUGAUCGUCUACGAAUCAACCCUCAUGUAUUUUUGUUUCUAUUUGUCAGAACAGAGUAUGUCGAUGAUUUUAGCCCAUAAAA
This is a long non-coding RNA of Brassica napus (rape), 2287 nucleotides long. RefSeq lists it as uncharacterized. The transcript has 6 exons. The record is from RefSeq and is a predicted model, not a curated record. Lineage: Eukaryota; Viridiplantae; Streptophyta; Magnoliopsida; Brassicales; Brassicaceae.